GGAAAAUUCAGUUUAGGGUUUAAAACCCUAAUGCUGAUUGCAUGAAAAAGCUCAGUUUAGGGUUUUAAAACCCUAAUGCUAGCUGAAAGGAAAAGUUCAGUUUAGGGUUUAAAACCCUAAUGCUGAUUGCAUGGAAAAGCUCAGUUUAGGGUUUAAAACCCUAAUGCUGGCUGAAAGGAAAAUUCAGUUUAGGGUUUAAAACCCUAAUGCUGAUUGCAUGGAAAAACUCAGUUUAGGGUUUAAAACCCUAAUACUGGCUGAAAGGAAAAAGUUCAGUUUAGGGUUAAAAACCCUAAUGCUGAUCGGCUGGGGAUAAAGUUCGAGAAUACUACACGAUCUAUUUUUUUUGAGUUUUCUUGUUUUAAUAGAAGAUAAAAGGGAGUUUUGCGGGAACUUACCUUUUGAGUGAAUCCCUCAUUGCCGAAGUGCUUCCUGUAUCCGUGUACCUUCUUCUUUGGGCGACACCUGCUUCUUGCACGGUUGUCUUGGAUUAGACCUGUUUCAACUUUUGAGUGAAUCCCUCAUUGCCAAAGUGCUUCCUGUAUCCGUGUACCUUCUUCUUUGGGCGACACCUGCUUCUUGCAUGGUUGUCUUGGAUUAGACAUGUUUCAACUUUUCAAACAAAGAAUCAUUUGUUAGUUCGGAAAUGACGGUCGGUUCGGUGACCUUGAUCGUUCCCAAUUGCUUUGCUGCGUCUCUAUUUCUGUUGCGAAGUCCCGCCACUGAUUUGAUUCGAAUGGCGAAACCUUUAGACUGCUCAGGCUGGUAUUUCCGGAUUCUGUGAUGACUUGCUUCGUAAGGCUCUUUUUUCUUCUUUUU
Molecule: long non-coding RNA, 819 nt
Filed under: Nicotiana tabacum (common tobacco)
Lineage: Eukaryota; Viridiplantae; Streptophyta; Magnoliopsida; Solanales; Solanaceae
Description: long non-coding RNA (NTAB_LNC006506)
Source: RNAcentral